This 254-nucleotide ribosomal RNA is filed under the name uncultured bacterium. Its description in RNAcentral is "partial 16S ribosomal RNA". It matches the Rfam family "Bacterial small subunit ribosomal RNA", at positions 524 to 776 of the family's 1533-position model. The record is from RNAcentral.
GACGUAGGGAGCGAGCGUUGUCCGGAUUCAUUGGGCGUAAAGAGCUCGUAGGCGGUUCGGCAAGUCGGGUGUGAAACCUCCAGGCUCAACCUGGAGACGCCACCCGAUACUGCUGUGACUUGAGUCCGGUAGGGGACCACGGAAUUCCUGGUGUAGCGGUGAAAUGCGCAGAUAUCAGGAGGAACACCGGUGGCGAAGGCGGUGGUCUGGGCCGGCACUGACGCUGAGGAGCGAAAGCGUGGGGAGCGAACAGG